Molecule: transfer RNA, 66 nt
Filed under: Dolophilodes bellatulus
Lineage: Eukaryota; Metazoa; Arthropoda; Insecta; Trichoptera; Philopotamidae
Description: tRNA-Asn
Source: RNAcentral
UUAGUUGAACCCAAAAUAGAGGGAAUUCAUUGUUAAUGAUAAAAUUGAAUUAAUAUUCCACCUAAA